GGAAGAGAUGCUGCGGAGCUGCGUGACUUGAAUUCCUUGGCUACGUUGACAUCUCCGUUUAUAAUCUACCUCUCAUCAGUGGAGCCCUUGAGAAGUCAGGAAUGGGGCUGAUAGUUUUCGGAACGUGCCAUUGAAAACAUUCACACGCAUGCAUUCUUGAACAGAGCUUUGCAGCCUGACUCAGAAAGAAGGGUUUGGGGUACCUGGGGCAGCCUGCCACCACUCGCUUCCCUGGCCUGCUUUCAGGACCCGGGGACCCAGUGGGCUUGUGAUCCAGAUGUCCUUCUCCAUAAAUCCACCCAGGUGUGUGCCACUGUCACGGACCUUUGCAGGGAGAUUCUCAGACUACUGGUGUCUGUUUCUCAGGGGCAGUGGUGCCAGGGCUGAAAUUCCUUAGGGGAGAGGGGAACACUUCCCAAAUCGUCCUUGAGUGCCCUGGGAGAGGAGCUUCGUCGCUUUCCCCGUCUCCUCUUCCAAGCUGACUCAUGACCACAAAGGCAGUGUUGAUUUCAAGGUGUAGCUAGAAAUUCCCCACUGCCCUGAAGUUCUCAUGGGCUCUUUGGGGCUUCUUAGGUUCACGUAAAGGUACAGAACUGUGUGUGGUUAUUACACAAUUGCGUUUGGUACUUGAAGGCCUGUCUCUUGCUCUUCUCAGUGUCCCAAACGUUUUCGACCGUGAUCCACAGUACCUCUCCCAUCAAGACCUAGCAUGGCCACACCCCACCCCCCUCCAGAACAGAACAAGUUGUAGGAACAGUUGUUAACUUUCUGUCUGAUGAACUCCACUCGAUAGUUUCUUGCUGUUCCACUAAACAGUGUGCUGUGUGUAAACUGCUACAUUGAUUUCACAACCAAUGCAAACCCCGGGCUCUCUGGACGUGAGUGCCUGGCACAGAGAGGACCGCGCACAUUCUGGAAUGAGCGGGUAGGUGGAAGGUGGCUUGAAGUUUUCUAGGUUUCAAUGAAAAGGCCUUAUUUUUCCUCCUGGGCCUUCACAGUCUGUCAACAACCAGGCUGCGGUGGGCAAGGCCAGGACUUCAGGAGCGGAAGGUGCGGGCGAGCCCUGCCUCCAUCUCGGGUGAGAUGAAGAUGCCUGGAACCACUGCGGGCGCAUGCCUGGACCCGUAUCCAAGGGCAGGAACAGUCUGUUCCCGGCGGCUCAGGGCCUCAACCUGAACCCAUGCACGACAGGAGCGCAGCAGAUGGACUCCCGCAGGGCUGCCUGGACCUGACAUCAGAGACAGAGCUGUGCAACGGAAGCCUGCUGACAUCCGCCCGCCAGGGUGGGCUGCCCUCGUCCACGCGCAGCGGGCUUCUCUCCAGCUGCGGGAGCCUCCUGAUGUCCCCGGGCACGGGUAACUGCCCAGGGUCUCACCACCCAGCGGUUGUCUACAUCCUUGCACAGGCUCACAGCCCAGCAGGCGGGGAAGACCUGUGAAGGCAGACAGCGUGGCAGGGGGUGGGUGGUUAUUCCAGGCCCUGUCCCAGGGCGCAGCGCUGGCCCCUUCUGAGGCUGGGGAGGACCAGGACCUGUGGCAUGUCUGCUGUCCCUCCAGCUGGCAUUCUCGGUGGGUGCCAGCAGUGAGGAUUUCCCUUCCUGGGCGAGACCCAGCAGGGUCCGGGGUCCACCCCACUGGAACCGUCUCCUCCAGAGGCCUCCUCUUGUUCAAGUUUACUUCAGCUGUAAAUUUUACACAUACUAUGGAACACUUCUGAUUUAUGUCUGCCCCUGGGAUGCCCUUGUGCCCACUUUUAAAAAGGCUGUCCCCUUACUAAUUUUUUUUUUUUUUUUUGCUGAGGAAUAUUCACCCUGAGCUAACAUCUGUUGCCAGUCUUCCUCUUUUUCGUAUGUGGGAUGCUGCCACAGCAUGGCUGAUGAGUGUUGUAGCUCCACGCCCAGGAUAUGAACCUGCAAACCUAGGCUGCUGAAGUGGAGCGUGUGAACUUGACCACUGUGCCGCAGGGCAGGCCCCUGUCCUGUUACUCUUUUCAUUCAUCUUCCGUGUCAUCUCAUCAGCCCCUCCCCUCCUGUGUUCUUCUCACUGCCCCUGUUUCUCAUGGUGUCUCUUGACUUUAUUUACUGGUUCACUUUUGUUUGGGGUCUGUGUGUCCUGGAGGCCAUGUGUGUGCACUCUUGGACCUGUCACUGAGAAGUCAUCCAGUGCGUUGCUGUUGAAGAAAAGAGGGGACCCCCAUUUUACAGAUGAGAAGACAGAGGCACUGAAAGGUCAAAGGGGCCAAACCAGGAUCUGAACCCAGAGCCGACUGGCCUCUGCCCUGUCCAGAAGGAGCUUGUGAGCAUCCCUUGUUGGGCUGGAGCUUGGGUUCGAAUUCAAGAGGACUGGGGGGCGGGGGUGGUAGGGCCUUGGGCCGGUUACCUUCGCUGGAGCCCGUUUGCUCGUCUGUAAAGUAGGGAUGAGAAAGAUGACCCCUCAGAGGGUUGUGAGCAUAUAACCAUUUAGCUGGCUGUAGUGUGUGUUGAACAUCCUCUUGUUUUGGGGGCCGGGCCAGUGACCAAGGAUGCCCGUGUGAGUUGCUUGGCCGUGAACUUGGUUUGAGUUUGAGACCUUCCUUCAGGGGCAUGCCUGUCACUGUUGCAAGUAGAUGCCAAAAUCUUGUUCCCCCUCCCAGAGCCACGCACCCCACGAAGGCCUCACUCCCACAGGGGGACCUGUGCUUGGCCUUGAGCAUCCCCCAAGCCUGGGAGCCCUGCAUUCUCCUGGGGUGACUCACUUCCUGUUUGGGCUUGGAAUUUGGAAGAGGAAACACUGCAGAGUCAGCUCCAUGGAAACGGCUGGGCCCGCCCACCAGAGCCUUAAAGGGACAGUCCUUCCAGGCAGGGCUUGUCCUGGGUGCGGGGUGGGGCGGGGGUGAGUGGGGUGGUGAUGAAGGGGCCCAGAGAGCCUGGAGUCAGGAUUUGAGCCCAGGGAGUCUGCUGCCCGGUCCUACAGUUCUCCUCUUUUCUCCUAAGGGACCCCUAUCCUCACCCCCCCUUUACCAAUGCUCAGUCCAGUUGCAAGGCCAUUUUAAAAGGACCUGUACUGCUGGGAUCUUACUCUGUAAUCUUGUUGAACUCGCUGCCUGGUCUUGGCCUUCGUUGCGUCUCCUCUCAAACUGGGUAACAAUGUCCCAGGCUGAUUGUGAAAAUUCCAUGAGAUCCUGUUUGUCAGGAGUGGCACUCACUCAGAUGCUGACAGGGACAGAUAAAUGAACGGAGCUGGCAGCCCUGAGACCGUGAAUUGCAGAGUGCACAUCCAUUUAAGGACACGCAAAUUCAGGUGUCUAAAGACAGCCCC
Molecule: long non-coding RNA, 3296 nt
Filed under: Equus caballus (horse)
Lineage: Eukaryota; Metazoa; Chordata; Mammalia; Perissodactyla; Equidae
Description: lncRNA (ENSECAG00000054419.1)
Source: RNAcentral